This 253-nucleotide ribosomal RNA is filed under the name uncultured bacterium. RNAcentral's name for it is "partial 16S ribosomal RNA". It matches the Rfam family "Bacterial small subunit ribosomal RNA", at positions 524 to 776 of the family's 1533-position model. The record is from RNAcentral.
UACGGGGGGGGCAAGCGUUGUUCGGAAUUACUGGGCGUAAAGGGCUCGUAGGUGGCCAACUAAGUCAGACGUGAAAUCCCUCGGCUUAACCGGGGAACUGCGUCUGAUACUGGAUGGCUUGAGUUCGGGAGAGGGAUGCGGAAUUCCAGGUGUAGCGGUGAAAUGCGCAGAUAUCAGGAGGAACACCGGUGGCGAAGGCGGGUCUCUGGGCAACAACUGACGCUGAGGAGCGAAAGCGUGGGGAGCAAACAGG